This 463-nucleotide ribosomal RNA is filed under the name uncultured bacterium. Its description in RNAcentral is "bacterial SSU rRNA". It matches the Rfam family "Bacterial small subunit ribosomal RNA", at positions 331 to 792 of the family's 1533-position model. The record is from RNAcentral.
CCAGACUCCUACGGGAGGCAGCAGUGAGGAAUAUUGGUCAAUGGUCGGGAGACUGAACCAGCCAAGCCGCGUGAGGGAGGAAGGUACAGAGUAUCGUAAACCUCUUUUGUCAGGGAACAAAGGCGGGGACGUGUCCCCGGAUGAGUGUACCUGAAGAAAAAGCAUCGGCUAACUCCGUGCCAGCAGCCGCGGUAAUACGGAGGAUGCGAGCGUUAUCCGGAUUUAUUGGGUUUAAAGGGUGCGCAGGCGGUCUGUUAAGUCAGCGGUAAAAGCCCGGGGCUCAACCCCGGCGAGCCGUUGAAACUGGCGGGCUGGAGUUGGAGAGAAGUACGCGGAAUGCGCGGUGUAGCGGUGAAAUGCUUAGAUAUCGCGCAGAACCCCGAUUGCGAAGGCAGCGUACCGGCUCCACACUGACGCUGAGGCACGAAAGCGUGGGUAUCGAACAGGAUUAGAUACCCCAGUA